RNAcentral lists this ribosomal RNA (456 nucleotides) under uncultured bacterium. Its description in RNAcentral is "bacterial SSU rRNA". It matches the Rfam family "Bacterial small subunit ribosomal RNA", at positions 346 to 793 of the family's 1533-position model. The record is from RNAcentral.
AGGCAGCAGUGGGGAAUAUUGGACAAUGGGCGAAAGCCUGAUCCAGCCAUGCCGCGUGUGUGAAGAAGGCCUUUUGGUUGUAAAGCACUUUAAGCGAGGAGGAGGCUACCGAGAUUAAUACUCUUGGAUAGUGGACGUUACUCGCAGAAUAAGCACCGGCUAACUCUGUGCCAGCAGCCGCGGUAAUACAGAGGGUGCGAGCGUUAAUCGGAUUUACUGGGCGUAAAGCGUGCGUAGGCGGCUUUUUAAGUCGGAUGUGAAAUCCCUGAGCUUAACUUAGGAAUUGCAUUCGAUACUGGGAAGCUAGAGUAUGGGAGAGGAUGGUAGAAUUCCAGGUGUAGCGGUGAAAUGCGUAGAGAUCUGGAGGAAUACCGAUGGCGAAGGCAGCCAUCUGGCCUAAUACUGACGCUGAGGUACGAAAGCAUGGGGAGCAAACAGGAUUAGAUACCCUGGUAG